RNAcentral lists this ribosomal RNA (497 nucleotides) under uncultured bacterium. Its description in RNAcentral is "partial 16S ribosomal RNA". It matches the Rfam family "Bacterial small subunit ribosomal RNA", at positions 28 to 507 of the family's 1533-position model. The record is from RNAcentral.
GAUGAACGCUGGCGGCGUGCCUAAUACAUGCAAGUCGAGCGAACAGACGAGGAGCUUGCUCCUCUGACGUUAGCGGCGGACGGGUGAGUAACACGUGGAUAACCUACCUAUAAGACUGGGAUAACUUCGGGAAACCGGAGCUAAUACCGGAUAAUAUAUUGAACCGCAUGGUUCAAUAGUGAAAGACGGUUUUGCUGUCACUUAUAGAUGGAUCCGCGCCGCAUUAGCUAGUUGGUAAGGUAACGGCUUACCAAGGCAACGAUGCGUAGCCGACCUGAGAGGGUGAUCGGCCACACUGGAACUGAGACACGGCCCAGACUCCUACGGGAGGCAGCAGUAGGGAAUCUUCCGCAAUGGGCGAAAGCCUGACGGAGCAACGCCGCGUGAGUGAUGAAGGUCUUCGGAUCGGAAAACUCUGUUAUUAGGGAAGAACAAAUGUGUAAGUAACUAUGCACGUCUUGACGGUACCUAAUCAGAAAGCCACGGCUAACUACGUG